This 291-nucleotide long non-coding RNA is filed under the name Gouania willdenowi (blunt-snouted clingfish). Its description in RNAcentral is "lncRNA (ENSGWIG00000018115.1)". Lineage: Eukaryota; Metazoa; Chordata; Actinopteri; Blenniiformes; Gobiesocidae. The record is from RNAcentral.
CCUGGUUCCGGUGCUGGGCGCCACAGCGCACAGUGUGAUAGUGAUGAAGCUGAGGAUGAUGAUGAUGAUGAUGAAGAUGAGCAGCUGAUGGUUCCCAGUGUUCCCAGUGCAGCAGGAGGAACCAGGUGGAGGAUUGAUGGAGAUGGACAGAGAACAGGGUCACACACUGAUGUACGCCUGGAAACAAGAGCUGCACUAACAGGUGAUCCACUUGGUUACAGGAGCGUGUGAGGAGAGACAGAUUAAAGGCUCCACACAUCACACGGCUUCACUGACGGCCAAUCAGGACAG